Molecule: long non-coding RNA, 939 nt
Organism: Anthonomus grandis grandis
Lineage: Eukaryota; Metazoa; Arthropoda; Insecta; Coleoptera; Curculionidae
Exons: 2
Source: RefSeq, a predicted model, not a curated record
AUGCGGUAAUGCUAAUGAUUCGAAAGAUUCUCCCGUAGCCAGAAACCUGAAAAUAAAAACAAAAGCCUACUCUUAUUAUAGCAAUUUUUUAAAUGUUAAGUUUAUAAUUUUGAUUACACUUUUGUUUCAGAUGAAGAGUGCAAAAAACGAUGGCGCAAUAUUAGAGAUACCUACUUUCGGUAUAAGCGAAAAAAUAAGUUGCCGACAGGGUCAUCAGCAGAACAAAAGGUACCUAAAUGGAUACUGUUUAAUCGUCUUUUAUUUCUUGACAAAGUUUCGCGUGAGAGAUUAAGUACUACUAAUAUAAAUGAAGGCGAGACAGAAAUGACAGAUAACGUGGAUGAGGUUGAACAAACAAAUUCUCAGUUGUCAUCGCAAAAUGCUGAAAAUGUAGGAAUUAUAGCUGCAGCAACAACGACUCGCACAAGUUCAGCCGAUGCAGUUUCCCUCUCAACUACAGGUACGCAAGUAACGACGAGAUUAUAGAGCUACUAAAGAAAAGAGAGGAACAAAGACAAGAAACUUUCCGAGGAAUAUUUCAACAGUCGCAAGCAUCAACCGACGGUCCCCUUCAUUCAUUUUGUGAACACAUUAAAUCGGUGCUUGAAUCAUUGUCGCCUUCUCUACAGGUAGAAGCCAAAGGGGAUAUUUAUAAUACCGUCACACGCAUUCAUCUGCUAGCACUCCGUUUCCACGGGAGAAUCCUCUAUCAGUACAUACAGAUAUGUCAAAUUCUAAUCCUUUUAACUCUCCACCGAUGCAGUCCCCAGAAAGUUUUUUACCGCCCCAAACUAGCACCGAUUGUCUGCAAGGAGCUGAAGAUGAAGCUGAUGAUGAAAUAGAUUUUGAAUCAGUACUUUUAAAGUUGUAAAUUACAAUAGCGUUUAGACUUAAAUUGUAAAAACUUACCUUAAUGUGAUAAAAAGUUUUUCUUCUGGA